This 433-nucleotide ribosomal RNA is filed under the name uncultured bacterium. RNAcentral's name for it is "bacterial SSU rRNA". It matches the Rfam family "Bacterial small subunit ribosomal RNA", at positions 29 to 507 of the family's 1533-position model. The record is from RNAcentral.
AACGAACGCUGGCGGCAUGCCUAACACAUGCAAGUCGAACGAAGGCUUCGGCCUUAGUGGCGCACGGGUGCGUAACGCGUGGGAAUCUGCCCUUGGGUUCGGAAUAACUCAGAGAAAUUUGAGCUAAUACCGGAUGAUGACGUAAGUCCAAAGAUUUAUCGCCCAAGGAUGAGCCCGCGUAAGAUUAGCUAGUUGGUGGGGUAAAGGCCUACCAAGGCGACGAUCUUUAGCUGGUCUGAGAGGAUGAUCAGCCACACUGGGACUGAGACACGGCCCAGACUCCUACGGGAGGCAGCAGUGGGGAAUAUUGGACAAUGGGCGAAAGCCUGAUCCAGCAAUGCCGCGUGAGUGAUGAAGGCCUUAGGGUUGUAAAGCUCUUUUACCAGGGACGAUAAUGACAGUACCUGGAGAAUAAGCUCCGGCUAACUCCGUG